Molecule: long non-coding RNA, 504 nt
Organism: Stylophora pistillata
Lineage: Eukaryota; Metazoa; Cnidaria; Anthozoa; Scleractinia; Pocilloporidae
Source: RefSeq, a predicted model, not a curated record
UUGGUAAUUAGUUUUCUCGCGACAGGAAGCACUGAAAGGAGUUCUUCUUCUCCGGGUGAACAUGCAAGGGAAAACUGGUGAUAUGUCGAUAACUCUACCUUUUAUAGGAAAAUUAAGCAUUAGAUUCCACGGAUUUUGAAGCAAUACAUACUUAGAUGAAGCUGAGUUCACCAACGAUAAGAACAAAAGCCUCAUUGUUGAAAUGUCCAAACGAUCGUUUUGGGCAUUACGGAAAGCUGUCGAAACCAAAUGGCUAACGAUAUCAGUAACAAUACUCAUAACGACUCUAGCCAACAAGAUUUGAUUCCAAUACCCCCAUCAGAGUGUAUUCCAUGGUUUGUUGUCCAUAUUGCUGAAUGUUUGGCAAUAGUCAUCCUAAACAUCAUCACUAUUGUUGCAUUUGUGAAGCAGCGCGAGUUACAGCGCCAGAGUAAAUACUUAAUCAACCAUCUGGCGAUUGUUGAUCUCCUCGCCGGUGCAGUCUCUGGACCUCUUUUUAUAGAG